Molecule: unclassified non-coding RNA, 352 nt
Filed under: soil metagenome
Description: partial contains 5.8S ribosomal RNA, internal transcribed spacer 2, and large subunit ribosomal RNA
Rfam family: 5.8S ribosomal RNA (bases 1-120)
Source: RNAcentral
GAUGAAGAACGUAGCGAAAUGCGAUAAGUAAUGUGAAUUGCAGAAUUCAGUGAAUCAUCGAAUCUUUGAACGCACAUUGCGCCCGCCAGUAUUCUGGCGGGCAUGCCUGUUCGAGCGUCAUUACAACCCUCAGGCCCCCGGGCCUGGCGUUGGGGGUCGACGGAAGCCCCCUGUGGGCACACGCCGUCCCUCAAAUACAGUGGCGGUCCCGCCGCAGCUUCCAUUGCGUAGUAGCUAACACCUCGCAACUGGAGAGCGGCGCGGCCAUGCCGUAAAACACCCAACUUCUGAAUGUUGACCUCGAAUCAGGUAGGAAUACCCGCUGAACUUAAGCAUAUCAAUAAGCGGAGGA